This 407-nucleotide ribosomal RNA is filed under the name uncultured bacterium. RNAcentral's name for it is "partial 16S ribosomal RNA". It matches the Rfam family "Bacterial small subunit ribosomal RNA", at positions 30 to 526 of the family's 1533-position model. The record is from RNAcentral.
AUUGAACGCUGGCGGCAGGCCUAACACAUGCAAGUCGAGCUGAGCGUCGGACGGGUGAUUAAUGCCUGGGACUCUGCCUGGUAGUGGGGGAUCACGUCCGGAAACUGGCGCUUAUACCGCAUACUAUCAGAUGAGCCUAGGUCGUAUUAGCUAGUGGGUGGGGUAAAGGCCUACCAAGGCGGCGAGCCGUACAUGGUCUGAGAGGAUGAUCAGUCAAACUGGAACUGAGACACGGUCCAGACUCCUACGGGAGGCAGCAGUGGGGAAUAUUGGACAAUGGGCGAAAGCCUGAUCCAGCAAUGCCGCGUGUGUGAAGAAGGUCUUCGGAUUGUAAAGCACUUUAAGUUGGGAGGCGUUACCAACAGAAUAAGCACCGGCUAACUUCGUGCCAGCAGCCGCGGUAAUUC